Molecule: long non-coding RNA, 1873 nt
Filed under: Capsicum annuum
Lineage: Eukaryota; Viridiplantae; Streptophyta; Magnoliopsida; Solanales; Solanaceae
Description: long non-coding RNA (CANN_LNC010592)
Source: RNAcentral
UAGUAAGGACGUACACUUACCCGCUAAACCUCUACCGUAAUCUGCAUCCUCCACACGUUCCUAUGGGGACAUCACAAUGAUGGGAAUUUCUCUGCGAAUACACUUUACAACUGGGACUAAGAGAAAGAGCUGGAAGUUCUACAGGUCCUUGGAGCACAAUCUGGCUCCUACCAAGGUGAAAUGCUUCACUUGGUUUUCAAAAUGAUAGUUUUCAACUUCUUGAUUUUCUUUCCCAGAAUCGUAACGUACAGCCUCUUGGUUGUUAUAAACUCCAUUUCUUCAACAUUCUCCCCCAAAAUACUAAUUUUGACAGCCUCUUGGACAAUGGAAAAUCAAUCUCUAAGUUUCUUCUUCAAACUGUCCCCUCCAACACUAAUAGCCUCCAUGUCAUCAACUAUGUUUUAGUAAGGUCCUGAAGAAUUAAAAGAGGAAGGUAUCAUGACGAAUUGAGUCUAUUAACACUUAGCUAGACUUCUUUUCUUCAGUGUUGAUAGCUAUGAGAACACCGCGUUGGAAAAAAAACAUGACAGGAAAGAAAAACUCAUAAAAAGCCUCUAUCGUCCUAGAAAAUCAAUAACUUUCGACAAGGAAAGGGAUAAAGACUACAAUAACAUACCCAAUAUAAUCGCACAAAGUGUGGUCUAAGGAGCGUAAAGUGUAAGCAUACCUUAUCCCUACCACCACCAGGAAAAGGACAAAUAUCAGGAAAUGGAUUCUCCAAAUCAUAUGCACGGCUGAUUGGAACCUAGUGGGCAGUAAACAACCUCCAGGCAUAAUUGAAUCACUCUGUUAGCUUAUAUGCUCUAGUAAAAUACAAAGAUAGGCUAGAAUUUAUCACCUCAUCUUGCAUUCUUGCUAUAAAUACAAUUUUAAUAACACAACUCCAAUAAAAAACUAAGUUAGUAUUGCUCAAUAAAAGAUCAACUUUCUCCUCCAAAAUACUCCCUCCGUUUCGGAAUAAGUGAAUUGUUGGGGUAUUUAUUGGUGUUUCAAAAUAAGUGAAUCAUUAAAAUUUUUUUCAAAUUUACCCUUAUGAUUUGACAACCAAUUAACUUUUGAAAAGGUAUUACAAGGUCAAUUUUUUCUUUUUUUGGGGUAAAAAUGAAAAGUUGUGUUAAAUUUAUGUCUUUAAUGUUUUUUCCUUAAACUAUGUGCCAAAAUCCAACAAUUCAUUUAUUAUGAAACGGAGGGAGUACUAAUUUUGGCGGCCUCUUGGACAUUGACAAAAUCAAUCUCUUCAAGUUUCUUCUUCAAACUUGCACUGUCCCCUUCACAACUAAUAUCCUCCAAGUCAUCAACUAUGUCACGAAGAAUUGAAAGAAACAAAAGGAUCAUGAAGAAUUGAGUUGAGUCUAUCGACACUUUGCUAGAUUUCUUUGUGCUACGAGAACACCACAUUGGAAAAAAGGAAAUGAACGGAAAAUAUAACUCAUGAAAAUCCUCUAUCGUAGAAAAUCAAUAACUUUUACAUUCGACAAAGAAAAGGACAAAGACAAAAACAUACUCAAUAUAAGGUACAAGGCACAUGAACAUCAGUUUGAUUGUUUUCAACAUCAUCUUACCAACAAGAAACAAACCUUAUGAAACCAAAAUGAUAGUUUUCAACUUCUUAAUUUUCUUCUCCGAGAUCACAACUUUCCAGCCUCUUGGCUGAUAUAAACUCCAUUUCAACUUUUUUUCUCCAAAAUACUAAUUUUGGCAGGCUCUUGAACAUUGACAAAAUCAGUCUCUUCUUCAAAUUGUCACAUCCAACACUUAUAGCCUCCAUCAUCGACUAUGUUCCUCAUAUGGUCAUGAAGAAUUGAAAGAAAGGGAUCGUGAAGAAUUGAGCCUAUCAACACUUUGCUAGACCUUUUCUCUUCAUUUUUGAUUG